AGUGGGGGAUAACACAUCGAAAGAUGUGCUAAUACCGCAUAUGCCCUGAGGGGGAAAGGCGGGGAUCGCAAGACCUGUCGUUUUCGGAGUGGCCGAUAUCGGAUUAGCUAGUUGGUGGGGUAAAGGCCCACCAAGGCGACGAUCCGUAGCUGGUCUGAGAGGACGACCAGCCACACUGGGACUGAGACACGGCCCAGACUCCUACGGGAGGCAGCAGUGGGGAAUUUUGGACAAUGGGGGCAACCCUGAUCCAGCCAUACCGCGUGAGUGAAGAAGGCCUUCGGGUUGUAAAGCUCUUUCGGCAGGAAAGAAAUCGCCAUCUCUAACAUAGGUGGUGGAUGACGGUACCUGAAGAAGAAGCACCGGCUAACUACGUGCCAGCAGCCGCGGUAAUACGUAGGGUGCGAGCGUUAAUCGGAAUUACUGGGCGUAAAGCGUGCGCAGGCGGCUUUUUAAGCCAGAUGUGAAAUCCCCGGGCUUAACCUGGGAACUGCAUUUGGAACUGGAAGGCUAGAGUGUAGCAGAGGGGGGUAGAAUUCCA
Molecule: ribosomal RNA, 541 nt
Filed under: uncultured Gallionellaceae bacterium
Lineage: Bacteria; Pseudomonadati; Pseudomonadota; Betaproteobacteria; Nitrosomonadales; Gallionellaceae
Description: bacterial SSU rRNA
Rfam family: Bacterial small subunit ribosomal RNA
Source: RNAcentral